GCCCAGACUCCUACGGGAGGCAGCAGUGAGGAAUAUUGGUCAAUGGACGGAAGUCUGAACCAGCCAUGCCGCGUGCAGGAAGACGGCUCUAUGAGUUGUAAACUGCUUUUGUACAAGGGUAAACCUGAAUACGUGUAUUCAGCUGAAAGUACUGUACGAAUAAGGAUCGGCUAACUCCGUGCCAGCAGCCGCGGUAAUACGGAGGAUCCAAGCGUUAUCCGGAUUUAUUGGGUUUAAAGGGUGCGUAGGCGGUCCGUUAAGUCAGCGGUAAAAUUGCGGGGCUCAACCCCGGCGAGCCGUUGAAACUGGCAGACUUGAGUUGGCGAGAAGUACGCGGAAUGCGCGGUGUAGCGGUGAAAUGCAUAGAUAUCGCGCAGAACUCCGAUUGCGAAGGCAGCGUACCGGCGCCAGACUGACGCUGAGGCACGAAAGCGUGGGGAUCGAACAGGAUUAGAUACCCGAGUAUC
This 467-nucleotide ribosomal RNA is filed under the name uncultured bacterium. RNAcentral's name for it is "partial 16S ribosomal RNA". It matches the Rfam family "Bacterial small subunit ribosomal RNA", at positions 329 to 795 of the family's 1533-position model. The record is from RNAcentral.